AAUGGGUCAGCGACUUAUAUUCUGUAGCAAGGUUAACCGAAUAGGGGAGCCGAAGGGAAACCGAGUCUUAACUGGGCGUUAAGUUGCAGGGUAUAGACCCGAAACCCGGUGAUCUAGCCAUGGGCAGGUUGAAGGUUGGGUAACACUAACUGGAGGACCGAACCGACUAAUGUUGAAAAAUUAGCGGAUGACUUGUGGCUGGGGGUGAAAGGCCAAUCAAACCGGGAGAUAGCUGGUUCUCCCCGAAAGCUAUUUAGGUAGCGCCUCGUGAAUUCAUCUCCGGGGGUAGAGCACUGUUUCGGCAAGGGGGUCAUCCCGACUUACCAACCCGAUGCAAACUGCGAAUACCGGAGAAUGUUAUCACGGGAGACACACGGCGGGUGCUAACGUCCGUCGUGAAGAGGGAAACAACCCAGACCGCCAGCUAAGGUCCCAAAGUCAUGGUUAAGUGGGAAACGAUGUGGGAAGGCCCAGACAGCCAGGAUGUUGGCUUAGAAGCAGCCAUCAUUUAAAGAAAGCGUAAUAGCUCACUGGUCGAGUCGGCCUGCGCGGAAGAUGUAACGGGGCUAAACCAUGCACCGAAGCUGCGGCAGCGACGCUUAUGCGUUGUUGGGUAGGGGAGCGUUCUGUAAGCCUGUGAAGGUGUGCUGUGAGGCAUGCUGGAGGUAUCAGAAGUGCGAAUGCUGACAUAAGUAACGAUAAAGCGGGUGAAAAGCCCGCUCGCCGGAAGACCAAGGGUUCCUGUCCAACGUUAAUCGGGGCAGGGUGAGUCGACCCCUAAGGCGAGGCCGAAAGGCGUAGUCGAUGGGAAACAGGUUAAUAUUCCUGUACUUGGUGUUACUGCGAAGGGGGGACGGAGAAGGCUAUGUUGGCCGGGCGACGGUUGUCCCGGUUUAAGCGUGUAGGCUGGUUUUCCAGGCAAAUCCGGAAAAUCAAGGCUGAGGCGUGAUGACGAGGCACUACGGUGCUGAAGCAACAAAUGCCCUGCUUCCAGGAAAAGCCUCUAAGCAUCAGGUAACAUCAAAUCGUACCCCAAACCGACACAGGUGGUCAGGUAGAGAAUACCAAGGCGCUUGAGAGAACUCGGGUGAAGGAACUAGGCAAAAUGGUGCCGUAACUUCGGGAGAAGGCACGCUGAUAUGUAGGUGAAGUCCCUUGCGGAUGGAGCUGAAAUCAGUCGAAGAUACCAGCUGGCUGCAACUGUUUAUUAAAAACACAGCACUGUGCAAACACGAAAGUGGACGUAUACGGUGUGACGCCUGCCCGGUGCCGGAAGGUUAAUUGAUGGGGUCAGCGCAAGCGAAGCUCUUGAUCGAAGCCCCGGUAAACGGCGGCCGUAACUAUAACGGUCCUAAGGUAGCGAAAUUCCUUGUCGGGUAAGUUCCGACCUGCACGAAUGGCGUAAUGAUGGCCAGGCUGUCUCCACCCGAGACUCAGUGAAAUUGAACUCGCUGUGAAGAUGCAGUGUACCCGCGGCAAGACGGAAAGACCCCGUGAACCUUUACUAUAGCUUGACACUGAACAUUGAGCCUUGAUGUGUAGGAUAGGUGGGAGGCUUAGAAGUGUGGACGCCAGUCUGCAUGGAGCCGACCUUGAAAUACCACCCUUUAAUGUUUGAUGUUCUAACGUUGACCCGUAAUCCGGGUUGCGGACAGUGUCUGGUGGGUAGUUUGACUGGGGCGGUCUCCUCCUAAAGAGUAACGGAGGAGCACGAAGGUUGGCUAAUCCUGGUCGGACAUCAGGAGGUUAGUGCAAUGGCAUAAGCCAGCUUGACUGCGAGCGUGACGGCGCGAGCAGGUGCGAAAGCAGGUCAUAGUGAUCCGGUGGUUCUGAAUGGAAGGGCCAUCGCUCAACGGAUAAAAGGUACUCCGGGGAUAACAGGCUGAUACCGCCCAAGAGUUCAUAUCGACGGCGGUGUUUGGCACCUCGAUGUCGGCUCAUCACAUCCUGGGGCUGAAGUAGGUCCCAAGGGUAUGGCUGUUCGCCAUUUAAAGUGGUACGCGAGCUGGGUUUAGAACGUCGUGAGACAGUUCGGUCCCUAUCUGCCGUGGGCGCUGGAGAACUGAGGGGGGCUGCUCCUAGUACGAGAGGACCGGAGUGGACGCAUCACUGGUGUUCGGGUUGUCAUGCCAAUGGCACUGCCCGGUAGCUAAAUGCGGAAGAGAUAAGUGCUGAAAGCAUCUAAGCACGAAACUUGCC
RNAcentral lists this ribosomal RNA (2199 nucleotides) under Escherichia coli. Its description in RNAcentral is "partial 23S ribosomal RNA". It matches the Rfam family "Bacterial large subunit ribosomal RNA", at positions 614 to 2798 of the family's 2925-position model. The record is from RNAcentral. Lineage: Bacteria; Pseudomonadati; Pseudomonadota; Gammaproteobacteria; Enterobacterales; Enterobacteriaceae.